UACAGAGGGUGCGAGCGUUAAUCGGAGUUACUGGGCGUAAAGGGCGCGUAGGCGGUUUGAUGAGUGUGAUGUGAAAGCCCCGGGCUUAACCUGGGAAGCGCAUCGCAAACGAUUGAACUGGAGUUUAGGAGAGGGUGGUGGAAUUUCCGGUGUAGCGGUGAAAUGCGUAGAGAUCGGAAGGAACGUCGAUGGCGAAGGCAGCCACCUGGCCAGAAACUGACGCUGAGGCGCGAAAGCGUGGGGAGCGAACAGG
RNAcentral lists this ribosomal RNA (253 nucleotides) under uncultured bacterium. Its description in RNAcentral is "partial 16S ribosomal RNA". It matches the Rfam family "Bacterial small subunit ribosomal RNA", at positions 524 to 776 of the family's 1533-position model. The record is from RNAcentral.